This 62-nucleotide transfer RNA is filed under the name Caulobothrium sp. MZUSP 8009. Its description in RNAcentral is "tRNA-Lys". The record is from RNAcentral. Lineage: Eukaryota; Metazoa; Platyhelminthes; Cestoda; Tetraphyllidea.
GAUUAUAUAUCUAAUUUAAGUGCUGUGUUCUUACCUCAGUGAUGUGUGUUACACUAUAAUCU